CCUACGGGAGGCAGCAGUGGGGAAUAUUGGUCAAUGGGCGCGAGCCUGAACCAGCCAAGUCGCGUGAAGGAUGAAUGACUUACGGGUUGUAAACUUCUUUUAUAGAGGAGUAAAGUGAGGUACGUGUGCAUGUUUGUAUGUAUUUCUUGAUUACGGCUCGGAUAAUUCUGUGCCAGCAGCCGGGGUAAUACGGAGGUUCCGAGCGUUAUCCGGAUUUAUAGGGUUUAAAGGGAGUGUAGAUGGAUUGGUAAGUCAGUCGUGAAAUGUUGGGGCUAAACCGUGAAAUUGCAGUUGAAACUGGCAGGCUUGAGUACAGGAGAGGUGAGCGGAAUUCGUGGUGUAGCGGUGAAAUGCUUAGAUAUCACGAAGAACUCCAAUGGCGAAGGCAGUUCACUGGACUGCAACUGACGCUGAGGCUCGAAAGUGUGGGUAUCAAACAGGAUUAGAUACCCUAGUAGUC
Molecule: ribosomal RNA, 460 nt
Filed under: uncultured bacterium
Lineage: Bacteria
Description: partial 16S ribosomal RNA
Rfam family: Bacterial small subunit ribosomal RNA
Source: RNAcentral